Molecule: transfer RNA, 82 nt
Filed under: [Clostridium] aminophilum
Lineage: Bacteria; Bacillati; Bacillota; Clostridia; Lachnospirales; Lachnospiraceae
Description: Clostridium aminophilum tRNA
Rfam family: tRNA
About the family: Transfer RNA (tRNA) molecules are approximately 80 nucleotides in length. Their secondary structure includes four short double-helical elements and three loops (D, anti-codon, and T loops).
Source: Rfam by way of RNAcentral
GGGUAGGUCGCAUAGUGGCAAUUGCAGCGGACUGUAAAUCCGCCGACUUCGGUCUACGUCAGUUCGAGUCUGACUCUGCCCA